Molecule: non-coding RNA, 45 nt
Organism: Harpegnathos saltator (Jerdon's jumping ant)
Lineage: Eukaryota; Metazoa; Arthropoda; Insecta; Hymenoptera; Formicidae
Source: Rfam
AACCAGGACUUAUUAAAGUCCAUUAAAAAUACUGAAAAUUGUUCU